Molecule: ribosomal RNA, 464 nt
Filed under: uncultured bacterium
Lineage: Bacteria
Description: partial 16S ribosomal RNA
Rfam family: Bacterial small subunit ribosomal RNA
Source: RNAcentral
GACGAACGCUGGCGGCGUGCCUAACACAUGCAAGUCGAGCGAAUGAAGUUCCUUCGGGAAUGGAUUUAGCGGCGGACGGGUGAGUAACACGUGGGCAACCUGCCUCAUAGAGGGGAAUAGCCUUCCGAAAGGGAGAUUAAUACCGCAUAAGAUUGUACUAUCGCAUGAUACAGCAAUUAAAGGAGCAAUCCGCUAUGAGAUGGGCCCGCGGCGCAUUAGCUAGUUGGUGAGGUAACGGCUCACCAAGGCGACGAUGCGUAGCCGACCUGAGAGGGUGAUCGGCCACAUUGGGACUGAGACACGGCCCAGACUCCUAAGGGAGGCAGCAGUGGGGAAUAUUGCACAAUGGGGGAAACCCUGAUGCAGCAACGCCGCGUGAGUGUUAACGGCCUUCGGGUUGUAAAGCUCUGUCUUCAGGGACGAUAAUGACGGUACCUGGGGAGGAAGCCACGGCUAACUACGUG